This 509-nucleotide long non-coding RNA is filed under the name Rattus norvegicus (Norway rat). RNAcentral's name for it is "long non-coding RNA NONRATT003251". The record is from RNAcentral. Lineage: Eukaryota; Metazoa; Chordata; Mammalia; Rodentia; Muridae.
AGGUCUCUGGUAGCGCGGUCGGUGGCCGCGAUUUCCCGCCAUUGUGAGAAGUGGAGGCUGGGACGAUCUCCCCUCCUCCGGUCGCUGGACAGCAGCUCUGAGACACUCGUCACCGUCGCCGCAACCACCUCUCCUUGAGACGCGCGGAGGCCCGUGGCUCGCGACGCCCGGCGCGUGGGAGGGCGCGGACGAGGAGCGGCUGAGCCCCCGAGGAGAAGCCGGGCUCCGAGCGCGCUCGCCCGGCAGAGAAGCGCCGCGCGGGCCGCGCUGGCCCCAGCCCUCAGCGCCAUGCCCUGUGGAGAAGACUGGCUGAGCCACCCGCUCGGGAUCGUGCAAGGCUUCUUCGCACAAAAUGGAGUUACUCCUGACUGGGAGAAGAAAGUUAUUGACUACUUCAAGGAGAAGCUGAAGGAAAAUAAUGCUCCUAAAUGGUCCCCCUUCAUUAUCUGAAGCCUAACAGCUUUGUCAAGUUCCGUUGCAUGAUUCAGGAUAUGUUUGACCCCGAGUUU